This 459-nucleotide ribosomal RNA is filed under the name uncultured bacterium. RNAcentral's name for it is "partial 16S ribosomal RNA". It matches the Rfam family "Bacterial small subunit ribosomal RNA", at positions 338 to 795 of the family's 1533-position model. The record is from RNAcentral.
CCUACGGGAGGCAGCAGUGAGGAAUAUUGGGCAAUGGGCGCGAGCCUGAACCAGCCAAGUCGCGUGAGGGAAGACGGUCCUAUGGAUUGUAACCCUCUUUUGUCGGGGAGCAAGAGACGCCACGCGUGGCGUUCCGAGAGUACCCGAAGAAAAAGCAUCGGCUAACUCCGUGCCAGCAGCCGCGGUAAUACGGAGGAUGCGAGCGUUAUCCGGAUUUAUUGGGGUAAAGGGGUGCGCAGGCGGAAGAUCAAGUCAGCGGUAAAAUUGAGAGGCUCAACCGGUUCGAGCCGUUGAAACUGGUUUUCUGGAGUGAGUGAGAGGUAUGCGGAAUGCGUGGUGUAGCGGUGAAAUGCAUAGAUAUCACGAAGAACUCCGAUUGCGAAGGCAGCAUACCGGCGCUCAACUGACGCUCAGGCACGAAAGUGUGGGUAUCGAACAGGAUUAGAUAUCCUAGUAGUC